Non-coding RNA from Jatropha curcas, 236 nucleotides. NCBI's taxonomy places the organism in Eukaryota, Viridiplantae, Streptophyta, Magnoliopsida, Malpighiales, Euphorbiaceae. The record is from RefSeq and is a predicted model, not a curated record.
AACAUUGUUAGAUUUGCAUUGCUAAUUUGCUUUCAAUUGAUUUGGCAAAGGUAAUGAAUUUUGAUCAUUUACUAGCCACACCUCUGCGAAUGAAAGGAAUAGAAAGGUUUUAUCAAAGUGACUGCGAUUUUCUUGGUACAGAACAUUUUUUACCCUGGGAAUGAGCUGCCACAAAGGAUGAUGUAUCAAAAUAACUGUGGAUAUUCUCUGAAUUGGUCUUCAUCAUCCAAACAACA